AUGUGCCACGCGUCCACUCCGGCUCCUCCGCGCUGUCGUAUCCGCCCGACAACUGCUCGCUACGUGUUGUUAGCC
This 75-nucleotide small RNA is filed under the name Xanthomonas axonopodis pv. begoniae. RNAcentral's name for it is "sX9 sRNA". It matches the Rfam family "Xanthomonas sRNA sX9". The record is from RNAcentral. Lineage: Bacteria; Pseudomonadati; Pseudomonadota; Gammaproteobacteria; Lysobacterales; Lysobacteraceae. RNAcentral also lists the same sequence under 1 other name.